Balaenoptera musculus (blue whale) is the source of this 3659-nucleotide RNA transcript. It is a transcript of the gene named DNA damage induced apoptosis suppressor, with no coding region annotated. Lineage: Eukaryota; Metazoa; Chordata; Mammalia; Artiodactyla; Balaenopteridae. The transcript is spliced from 9 exons. The record is from RefSeq and is a predicted model, not a curated record.
CGUCACGGUGCUUCGCCCGGGCAAGUGUCCCCGUCCUCUGCCUCAGCUCAUAGGCAGGUGUACCACCAUGUUACACCCUACCCCAAACUGGAUUUUAGAGGAAAUGUAGAGGGAAGAUGCCUUUGCUGACAUACAUUCCAUCAUUUGUUGCAUUGGCAAGAAGGAACUUGAGCUGAAAAGAACUAUUUCCCACCAAUUUAGGUUCUUUUAAACAUUCCUACCACAGUGAGGACACAUGAAUAGAAGAAGACAAUUUCUUCUUGCCUCAGUUCUUGCUCUCCAGAAUUCUAGUUUUAUAUAUCCUUCAUGUCAAAAGUGCUUCUCUCGGAUAAUCCUGGUCUCCAAAAGGUCUAAUUGUCCAAAAUGUGGCUCUACUGGUGAAGCUGAAAAUGCCAGUUACAGAUAUAAGCUUGCCUUAAAAGUUGCAGAAUCAAACAAAUUAUUUGGUAUUACUGUAUUUGGAAGCUGCUUAGAUGCAUUUUUUGGUCUUACAGCCACUGGUUUGCACAGGUACAUUCAAGAUCCUAAUGAAAUUCCAGAAACACUGGACAGUGAUGCAACUCAGAACCUAUUAACUAAAGCAGUUGAAACUUGCUUUGUUGGACAGAGCUUUAUUUUUGGAGUAACGAAUUUUGAAAGCCAACAUGGACAAGGUUCAGGUUCCAGUAACCUCUUAGAGCAGUACUCAGACCACAAGAGAAAAGUUAAAGCGCUAGUAGCUUGCCAGAUUCUUCUACCAGACCCAGGUGUCGUAGGCUUCACUGUCAUUGACUAUUUCCAUCGGCUUUUGCAGCUUUCUGAUAUCAGGAAACUUCGCUGUGGCUCCCAGGCACCUAAUAGCCACUUACUUGCUUUCGAAAAUUCAAAUAGCGAUGUCAGCAGCAUAUGUGGCCCUGACAGCAGUUCUUGUUGUUUUGAGUCCCAUGGCAGAGAUGAUUUUUCAGGAUUCUGGCAGCUAUCACUUGAACUCACUUCCAUUGUUUCACAACUAACAGAUGAUGAUGAUUUUUCAGCUUCAGAACAAAGCAAGGCCAUUGAUACUCCUCACCAGAACAGAAUGUGCAUUUCCUCUGCAGAGGCCACUGGUUCCAAUAGCUGCCAUGAUACCAUUCAGGGUUUAUGGAGCCCUGCUUCUUAUAUGGAUAAAAAGAGUGCAGCACAAAAGCUGGGUGAAGAACUUGGCUUACAAGCUAAUCAGCCAAGUGCUGUUCAUAGCAAUCAUCAUGAAAUUGGAGUUCCUGGUUCUAAUUUAUUCCCUUUGAAAGUGCAAGAGCCCCUUGAGCCAAGUAAUACAAAAUCCUUCCACAGUGCAGUGGAAGUUAAAAAUAUAUAUUCCCAGCGUGAGCUAACAUGUCACCAGUAUCAUGAUGUAGAUACCCCCGCUAACUUUCAGGAGAGAUCUAUGUGUUGUCCACCUUCAUCACUCAGACUUGAAGAGAUAGCUGGGGGUUCUCAGGACUGUGACCCUGAGAUCUGGGCUGACCUUCCACUCUCUGAAAGCCUAAACAAAUUUCUGGCAGCUAUCGAAAGUGAGAUUGCUAUAACCCAGACAGAUGGCAGUAGCAGGAAAUGUCAUCUAGAUAAUGACAUCAGUAAAUUACAUGCAGACCACAGCAGGUUUUCCGUGACUCCACAGAGAACUACUAGAUCCUUGCAUACACCACCUAUAGGCUUAAGAUCACCACAAGCAACAGUCAAAGCAAACUCCAGCAAAAAUAACUUCCUUUCCAACUGUGAAGCAAAUCCAAGUCCUAGUGUUCAUAAGGAGUCACAACCAGAGAACACAGCAGAGACUAUCUCUAUAAGUAGUAGUGAAAGAGACGUUUCUGAAAAUCUUCUACCAAAUGUUUAUCUGUCAGCUCUGUUUCCAUCUUCAAAAGGCUCAGGCACAACAGUUACUCUUAAGUCUACCAGAAUUCCACCACAUGAGGCUGAAAUUUCACUUAAGCAUGAUACUUCAGAGACUGACCAUUCUUGUCUCAAUAGCAAAUAUUUUAAUGGAUGUGGAGAAAAAUCACUAUCCGAAAUGAGUGAAAAGUUGACAACUUUGAGUUCUAGGAGGUAUAAUGAUGUUUCCAACCUUCACAACUUAGAAAAUAAACAAUACUGUAGGCGGCCAAAGAACCAGGGUGACAGUUUGACAAUUUGCAGGAAACUCACAUAUCCUUUAGAAGCUCUUUGCAGUAUGCCAAAUAGAAGUACGAACACAUUGAAAGAAAUGUCUUAUGAACACACUGGUAAUAACCUAACACCAAACUGUUCUACUGGUCAUGAAGGUUGCUACAAUGCUUCUGCUGAUCUCUUUGACGAUAGUCCUAAAGAAAUGGACAUGGCAACAGAAAUGACCAAAAAGUCACAGGAUAUUUUGUUACAGUGGGGAAAGUCUUUGGCAGAAAGUCAUCAUACAGAAUCUGAUUUUUCAUUGAGAUCACUCUCUGAAAACUCCAGCCAGUCUUCACAAAAAUUAUCCUUGCAAAACACAUCUGCCUCUCUGUAUCCAAAAACAUGUCCCUCUCCACCUCAUUUUCAGUCAGAUUCAGAAUAUGAUUUUGAAGAUAGCCAAGACUUUGUUCCAUGUUCACAGUCAACUCCAGUUAUAGGAUUCCACCAAACUAGAAUUCAUGGAAUGACAGGAGCUUUCCAAAAAUUACCUGCCUUUUAUUUGGACCUUGAUGCUAACUAUAAAAAGACAAGGAUUUCCUCUGUAAAUGAUGCACAGCAAGCCACCCCUAGCUGUCCAAAAAAUAUAAAGACACCCAGCCAGAAAUCCAGAAGCCCUACUGCAUCUAGUAUUACACAACCAGAGAUCUCCAACAACUGUCCUGUUGCUAAGUACCUUGACACUGAUGUUGAUGAAUGGGUCCCUCCUACCACACAAAAAGUAUUUCCUUCAGAAAUGCUUGGAUUCCAGGCCGUGGGUCUAAGGAAAUGCCCUGCUGCUUAUAAUUCUCCUGAUCAAAAAGAGUUACCAAGAAAAAAACUGAAAUAUGUCAAACAAAGAACUGAUAAAUGCUUAAUUAAGAAAGAGUUAAAUUUGAAGAAUAUGCUUACAGCAGCAGAACCGAAAACUCCUGACUAUAACAGUACAGGGUUAGGCUGGAUUUUCAAAGAGUCGGUUUUGGGACUUGGUUCCCGUUCAGAAGUCAAAUGUUGCCUUGCAUUUUCAGAAGAUUGGUCACCUUCAGUGCCUGAAACUAAAAGUGCUUGGUCUCCUGAAUUGUUCUCAUAAAAUGUCACCUGAACCCAAUUUCUGAGCUUUUAAAGGCUGUAAUUACUGCACUGCCAAACUGUGAUCUCUUAGCCACACCCAGGAAGAAUAGUCAAGAGGCCCACGGAUGGAGCAAGAAGAGUAGUUUCAUUUGUUCAAGGAAUGCCCAUUCCUCCAUCAGCAUGGGUUAAGCCCAAACCUAGAGAGCACAAUGCCACUGUCAAUUGGAAAUGAGAGGACAUUGAUUGGAAGAGCCAGCUGGCAUAGCAGAGCAGCAGUCUUAAAAGGCCUCAGAUUAGAUGGGCCUGUCCUGACACACAGUGCAGAACCUGCAGAGAGGUGAUACAUUCUGAAGUAUUUUUAGAUGAAAUUACAUGAUAUGUGGGCCUUGCUGCAAAACAAUACAGAAUGGAGAAAAUGGGAAUAUAGAAGAAACAAGAUUGAUCAUGAG